RNAcentral lists this transfer RNA (73 nucleotides) under Pelecanus crispus (Dalmatian pelican). It matches the Rfam family "tRNA". From Rfam's summary of the family: Transfer RNA (tRNA) molecules are approximately 80 nucleotides in length. The record is from Rfam by way of RNAcentral. Lineage: Eukaryota; Metazoa; Chordata; Aves; Pelecaniformes; Pelecanidae.
GCCAGGUUAGCUCAGUUGGUUAGAGUGUGGUGCUAAUAACGCCAAGGUACAGGUUCAGUCCCUGCUCACUGCA